This 2057-nucleotide long non-coding RNA is filed under the name Nicotiana tabacum (common tobacco). RNAcentral's name for it is "long non-coding RNA (NTAB_LNC007772)". The record is from RNAcentral. Lineage: Eukaryota; Viridiplantae; Streptophyta; Magnoliopsida; Solanales; Solanaceae.
GGAAGUGUUGCUGAUUUUUUAGGAGUCCAUAACAUUAAUGCCCUGCUCUAUAAGUACUUUGCUAGCCAUUAGAGUAAAAUACUAAAUGUCAAAUAAUAUCCUUUUUAGUCUCAGAUAUGGGUUUGAUUAUACAGUCCCCAAACGGAGACAAACAAACAAAUGACACAAAAUAAUCACGAAUGACAGAAACAAAAGAAGAGUAAAAACGCCAUAGGCAUCCCCAAGCGUUUUUGCUUAUUUUUUUUUGCUAUCCGAUGCGUUCUAAGGAAGACGGUAUGAGAUGUGAUGACUCCAUGCUCGGGUAGUGUUGAGUCUCGAGUGAGACUCGAUUUGCUCCAAGUGCAUAUGCAAAGACAAACAAAUAAGAAUUAGAAGAAAAUGGAAUCCGAUUCUUUAUACUACAUAAGAGAUAAAUAAAGAGGUAAAAAUCAUAAUAUAACUCAUCUCAUAGUAGUUUAUAAUAUGAAACACUCCACAUAAUAUUGUUUUCUUCAAGAAGAAAUAUUAGGUUUGUAUUCAACAGCUCUAGCCAUCAAGGUUCAAUAUUUAACUUAAAUGGCUAAACUUUAUGUCAUGAAAAUAUUAUGACUAAGUUACAAUAUCUACCUAAUACUAUUCAAUUAAACAGUCACCUAUGGUCACUCCUAGAAGCAAAGUAAGUUUCUUAUGAAAAAAAAAUGACUCAGGCUAAACAAAAUGAAUAAGUUAGUCAAGCAUGGGUUAUAUCUUCUAACGAAAUUCAUGAGAUAAUUCUUAUAGCAGUAAAGUAUGAGUCCUACAAUAUCUAGAUUUGACUAAUCCUAGAGUUACAUUUUCUGUUACUUGAAAACAACAAAAGGAAAUGUAUUAGCACUUCAAACAGAACAUGUCUCUUCUCUGAUCUUUAGAAUAAGCAUUUACAUAUUAAUAUUACCUCUUUAAUUACAUAAGCAAUGUUAUACUCAUAGGCAACUUUAUACAUUAAUUCUACCAAAAAUUCUUCUAGCUCAUUGUAAAAUAAAGUAAUAAUUCAAAUUACAUAACUAGAAAGUUAUUUUUUAACAUGGUGAUUUCCAUGGCAUUUAAACUAGAAGAACAACAAACUUGGAAUCAUAUUUUGAAUACGAAACGACCACAAUAAUUAUAGAGUUAACUCAGAGGAAGAAAAGUUUUAGCUAAUAAAUACACGCUAGAUAAAGAUUUUAAACUGAUCACUUUAAUUAAAGAAAGAUACAGAUUGAUGGUAACACCUUAAAGCAAAAAAGGCAUAAUAUUAACAACUCCAUACUAUCAUCAGCUAUCUAUUUAUAUAAAUACUUAGUCAAACUCUUACUUUCGUUUAAAUUUUAUUCGAGCAGAAUAACUAAGUACAUAAUUUCUACACACCAAUUAACUCUAAAUCACAAUUCACACAUACAAUAAACUACAGCUCAUUCAAACAAAAAUACAAUCAUUUUAGAUAUUCAAAGAAGAAGAAAAAAAAUGAGAGAAAAAAAAUACUUCAGUUACUGACCUUUUUGCAGGCAGUGAACUAAGGUUUUUGAGGUUUCAGAUCUACUCCGCGAACAAGAUUGACGGUAGAAUCAGUUUUAACAAAAUGAAGCGAAUUUAAAAUAACAAUGAUUAGUAGUGUUAAGAGAGUAGUAAGAUAGAUGAGAUUUUUAUGGUUCUCCCCGCUUGGCUUCGGCUGAGACUUAGAGAAGUAUUUAUAGGCGAUAAAAAGGUAGGGUUUCUGAAGAGCGGGAACUUGAAAUUUCGAAUUCGAAAUCUUGGUCAACAUAUCCGUUUGAAUCCUAACGUUGGAGGUUUGGACAGACUUCAUCUUCACGUGAUGCUUCAGGUCAUGCCCGAAAUGGUGAAAUUUGGUCUGAUCCUUGAAGAUUCACCACAAAAAGAGAGAUAAAAGAAAACAUCAAGACAAAAAUAUGAGAUAGAGGGAAAUGACACAUGCACAAAAAAAAGAUCUAGCAUAUUCUGAUGUAGAGGAUGGAGAAGAUUGUAUUUUGUUCAUAAGAGGAAAGGAGAGGAAGGGUGGGGGCUGACAAGUCUUGGAAGAAACAAAUGGGACCUAAUUUAUU